UUUUUUUCGAAAAAAAAACUUUACGAUAGGUAUUGAGUCAUCAACAUGCGUGGGGCGGUCGGUUUCGUUGCUUCGGAUCUUGCGUAUUUUCUAGAUGGACGUAAUUCGUUAAUCAUUCUUCGUUAGUGACCCGACUUAAUUGCCAUUUGCCAGCGUUUACGAGCGAUGUCGGUUGAGCUUUGCUCCGGCUUAGACUGCAAAAUAUACGUAUUGGGUAGCGUUACGGGCCAUGUUGGUCGAGCUUUGCUCGACCUAGACUGCCGGUAUAAAACGCAGGCAACCGUGGACAAGCGAUGUUGGUUGAGCUUUGCUCCGGCCUGACUGCUAGUUACACGGAUGUAUGUUACUCGGGGCAUGUUUAGCGAAUUCACUGAACUCGAUGUAAAUACACCAGCAAGAGAUGAUGCAACGUAGCUCACCGUUUGGUUUCCUGAUUUCGUAUCGUUCGGUGCAUUCUGGGGCUGUUUUGGCUUUUGGUUGCUUGCUUCGCUUUAGGCAAAGCGGGUGGCUACUAGUCGGGGUGGCUUCGGGGAUGUUCUCCGUAAAGGUGCAUGAGUGGUGUUUGGUUUGUUACGUGUGGUUGGCUGCGGCGCUUGCAACAACUUCCACGCUCUCAUACCUCUUCAGUAGUGCGGCAAGGCUUGUAUCGCCUUGAGCGUAAUGUGGGUUUUCUGUGUUUUAUACCUAAUCAACGGUAUCGGUUGGAUAGAUAAAAAGUUGCUUUUCGCCUUGCGUUGCAUUUGCGGCGUGAGGUGAACCUGAAUGCGUUCUCUUUGGUCCACCUUGUCGCAGCACAAGCUUCGGCAUUGUGGCACAUUGAGUAUUGCUUGGUUUCUUGUAUACGGAACAUAAUGYGGGCAUGGAUCUAACGAUUCUUGUUUGCCCUUGUUUCAGCGUUCUCGCUUCUUUAAAACGACU
Molecule: unclassified non-coding RNA, 918 nt
Filed under: Santolina chamaecyparissus
Lineage: Eukaryota; Viridiplantae; Streptophyta; Magnoliopsida; Asterales; Asteraceae
Description: partial external transcribed spacer
Source: RNAcentral